Molecule: long non-coding RNA, 1513 nt
Organism: Zingiber officinale
Lineage: Eukaryota; Viridiplantae; Streptophyta; Magnoliopsida; Zingiberales; Zingiberaceae
Exons: 2
Source: RefSeq, a predicted model, not a curated record
UUAGAAGUAAAUGUAGAUAAUUUUUUAAAUGUUUAUACAAAAAGCUAGACUUUUAGUAUACAUUCUAACACUCCUCACGUCGUUCUCUUCCUUCCUCUCCCUCACGCACUGCCCUCUCCCGAUUCCUCGUCGCUGUGGACCACCGAACUCCGACGCCGAUGAGCUCUAAUCGUCGAUCACCCAACACCGUUCGAUGUCGUCCAAUCUCUCGGCCUGUCGCGAUGAUAGCUUCCAACCCUCUCUAAUCUGUCGCUCGCCCUCGAGCGUCGCUGCCUUUGCCGACGUCGUCGGCUUGGUGAGUCAUUGGCCUUUCCUCGAUCAUGAGCAAGAUCUCCGACGUCCGUUCAUUUGAGUGUGGGUAGUUGUUGUCGUUUGACAGCAUCACCACUCCAAUCCAGAGCGGUGCCCUAGCUUGGAUCCAUCGCCCCUCUCCCAAUCACAUCGCCCUUUUAUGAAAUUGUCGUGCUAUCCUCGUCGUGCCAUCUACUGCCGGUUCUUUCUUCACCCAUCUCAUCAGCCGCAUCUGUUGGGUCUCUUGCAGAAAGGAAGCUGCCGACACAGAAUUAGGGUAAGGCAUGCUUGGAGUUUGAAUGGUAGAGACCUAGUUUCCAUUUUUAGAAUUGGGAGAUUGUGAUUUGUAGUUUUGCCAACCACUGUAACUCCAACUGCUAUUUUUCCAGCAGUAGCUUUCAGCCACUAUUUUCGACAGCAAGCUUCUCUGGCUAUGAGUCAAUAGCGAUGCAUUUGGAUUAGGUAUGAUUAGUUCGCUUAUUUUUCCUAUCAUGUUGGUAGAUGAUACAAUGGAUUGAAUAAUGGGUAAUUGAUAGGUUUCUUUGAUUUAGUUGUUAGGUUAUGUUUUUAUUGGAUUAGUGUGUUGGUUAGUGAGUUUUGGAUUGAUUAUGCUUGUAGUAAAUCCUAAUUGGAAGGGGAAAUGAUUGGGGAUACUUAAUCUAUUUGGUUAUGGAUUAGAGAUUCAUUUAUGAGUUGAUUUCUCUAGUUAGAAUAAUUUGGAUGAUAACAUGAUCAUUAUCAGGAUUUUAGAAGGAUUAAACCUAAUCUAGUGAAAGUUAUGUAUUGAGUUAAAUCUAACAGGGUUAAUGGUUAAACUACCAGAUUUGGGGUUAAUAGUUGAAAUAGAAUUAAUAUAUAGAUUCCUAAUCAUAUUAGGGUUCAGUUAGCUAUUUGGUUUAUGAUGGAUUUAGCUAACUAGUUCAUACUUGAUUAGUUAUAUCAUACACUAUGUGAUCGCAGGAUUUGUGUUCGGGACGAGCGUCUCGACGUAUGACUACUUGACACGAUCUACGUAUAAAGACGGGUGGCAGGUAGAUGAAUCAAGGAUGCUUGGGAGAGUCCUGCCUGCCGGUCCUACGUCACAUCCGAAGACUGCAUCGGGUUUCAUUUAUUCUUUACUCGUAUUUUGUAUUUGGUGUUAUAUUAAUUCGAUUAUUUUUUGGAGUUUAUUAUGUGGAGUUGAAUUUUGUGUUGUUGUAAUUGUUGUAUAAAGCCAAGUCAA